This 253-nucleotide ribosomal RNA is filed under the name uncultured bacterium. RNAcentral's name for it is "partial 16S ribosomal RNA". It matches the Rfam family "Bacterial small subunit ribosomal RNA", at positions 524 to 776 of the family's 1533-position model. The record is from RNAcentral.
UACGAAGGGUGCAAGCGUUACUCGGAAUUACUGGGCGUAAAGCGCACGUAGGUGGAUCGCUAAGUCAGGGGUGAAAUCCUGGAGCUCAACUCCAGAACUGCCUUUGAUACUGGCAAUCUCGAGUCCGGGAGAGGUGAGUGGAACUGCGAGUGUAGAGGUGAAAUUCGUAGAUAUUCGCAAGAACACCAGUGGCGAAGGCGGCUCACUGGCCCGGUACUGACGCUGAGGUGCGAAAGCGUGGGGAGCAAACAGG